CGAACUUAUUAACAUAUACUUCAAUUUAUAAUAUCACUUUAGCACAGUUUCAUCUUUUGAUGGAUGUGUUUUAAUAUUAGUCAUAUGAGCACAGAAUACUAUACAGAAGUCCAUCUCCACUGUUUUUUGCGUAAGUGCUAUUCGUCAUGAUUCGUCACUCAGCAAGUACUGUAAACAGAAGCAGUCACCCCCCUGGAUGUGUGCCA
Non-coding RNA from Paramuricea clavata, 206 nucleotides. The record is from the annotation of a GenBank genome assembly. Lineage: Eukaryota; Metazoa; Cnidaria; Anthozoa; Malacalcyonacea; Plexauridae.